AUUGAACGCUGGCGGCAGGCCUAACACAUGCAAGUCGAGCGAGCGGCGGACGGGUGAGUAAUGCCUGGGAAUGGCCCAGUCGAGGGGACUAAAAGUUGGAAACGACUGCUAAUACCGCAUACGAUUUGAUUGCCCAGGUGGAGUUAGCUAGUUGGUGAGGUAAUGGCCCACAAAGGCGACGAUCCCUAGCUGGUCUGAAAGGAUGAUCGGCCAAAUUGUAACUGAGCAACGGUCCAGACUCCUCAGGGAGGCAGCAGUGGGGAAUAUUGCACAAUGGGGGAAACCCGGAGGCAGCCAUCCGGCGGGGUGGAAGAAGGCCUCCGGGUUGUAAAGCACUUUCAGCGAGGCGGCGGUACUCGCAGAAGAAGCACCGGCUAACUACGUGCCAGCAGCCGCGGUAAUUC
Molecule: ribosomal RNA, 404 nt
Filed under: uncultured bacterium
Lineage: Bacteria
Description: partial 16S ribosomal RNA
Rfam family: Bacterial small subunit ribosomal RNA
Source: RNAcentral